GGGUCUAUAGCUCAACUGGCAGAGCCCCGGCCUUUUAAGCCGCGUGAUCUGGGUUCAAAUCCCAGUGGACCCACCA
This 76-nucleotide transfer RNA is filed under the name Rhodospirillales bacterium. Its description in RNAcentral is "tRNA-Lys". It matches the Rfam family "tRNA". From Rfam's summary of the family: Transfer RNA (tRNA) molecules are approximately 80 nucleotides in length. Their secondary structure includes four short double-helical elements and three loops (D, anti-codon, and T loops). Lineage: Bacteria; Pseudomonadati; Pseudomonadota; Alphaproteobacteria; Rhodospirillales. The record is from RNAcentral.